UGAGCCCGCACUUGAGGGCGGUGACUGCUCGUCGCUUCCGGAUGCGGUGCGGAACUGGUGGCAUUUUCGACGGUGCGAGGCAAGGCAGGAGUGAAGUCAAGAUUACACACUAGGUCGGUGUCCCAACCGCCAUACGAAAUGUUUCACACUACCAGCGGGAUGAAGAACUGCGUAAUCCUCAUAUUGCUCGCCGGCUACCGGCGUGCGGCCGAGGAGGGCCCGGCGCCGCGGCACCCGGG
Long non-coding RNA from Pollicipes pollicipes, 239 nucleotides. RefSeq lists it as uncharacterized. The record is from RefSeq and is a predicted model, not a curated record. NCBI's taxonomy places the organism in Eukaryota, Metazoa, Arthropoda, Thecostraca, Pollicipedomorpha, Pollicipedidae. The transcript has 3 exons.